RNAcentral lists this ribosomal RNA (265 nucleotides) under Escherichia coli. RNAcentral describes it as "partial 16S ribosomal RNA". It matches the Rfam family "Bacterial small subunit ribosomal RNA", at positions 1 to 260 of the family's 1533-position model. Lineage: Bacteria; Pseudomonadati; Pseudomonadota; Gammaproteobacteria; Enterobacterales; Enterobacteriaceae. The record is from RNAcentral.
UUAAAUUGAAGAGUUUGAUCAUGGCUCAGAUUGAACGCUGGCGGCAGGCCUAACACAUGCAAGUCGAACGGUAACAGGAAACAGCUUGCUGUUUCGCUGACGAGUGGCGGACGGGUGAGUAAUGUCUGGGAAACUGCCYGAUGGAGGGGGAUAACUACUGGAAACGGUAGCUAAUACCGCAUAACGUCGCAAGACCAAAGAGGGGGACCUUMGGGCCUCUUGCCAUCGGAUGUGCCCAGAUGGGAUUAGCUAGUAGGUGGGGUAA